Perca flavescens (yellow perch) is the source of this 382-nucleotide long non-coding RNA. RefSeq lists it as uncharacterized. NCBI's taxonomy places the organism in Eukaryota, Metazoa, Chordata, Actinopteri, Perciformes, Percidae. The record is from RefSeq and is a predicted model, not a curated record. The transcript is spliced from 3 exons.
UUUCUCUCGGGUUGAAGAGGCUGAGCCAAGCACGGUUUAUUCCGACCGCUGUGGCGUCUGUGCACACACACCUCUCUACCUGCCCUGCCCCGAGACCAAGAAGCACUAUGAUCGGUGCUGCCUGCCGCAAGAGAGAGCUGGCUACGAUGUUGACAGAUGCCUCACCCCAGGAGACAGAGAUAGUGUCAGUGCUACCGUAGAUGACCCCUUGCCCUCCUCCACGUGUGACACUGGGACACAGUGUAAUCUGAAUCCCCUUGGAAGGUCUCACGCUGUGCAGGUGAACCUGAAGCCCAACAUGGUCAGCGUGGGGACAUAGACAACAUUCAGGAUGCAAACUUCCACCCCCCUCACUAGUCCUGAAUAAAGUGAUGGAGAAAAA